This 76-nucleotide transfer RNA is filed under the name Candidatus Altimarinota bacterium. RNAcentral's name for it is "tRNA-Pro". It matches the Rfam family "tRNA". From Rfam's summary of the family: Transfer RNA (tRNA) molecules are approximately 80 nucleotides in length. The record is from RNAcentral. Lineage: Bacteria; Candidatus Altimarinota.
CGGGGAGUAGCUCAGUUGGUAGAGUGCGUGGUUUGGGACCAUGAGGCCGCAGGUUCGAGCCCUGUCUCCCCGACCA